Molecule: long non-coding RNA, 487 nt
Filed under: Felis catus (domestic cat)
Lineage: Eukaryota; Metazoa; Chordata; Mammalia; Carnivora; Felidae
Description: lncRNA (ENSFCAG00000052218.1)
Source: RNAcentral
CCGUGAGAAUUGCGACCGGUGGUAACAAAAAGAACUUCCGCAUUUAGUUCCGGGAACACAAGGUUCCGGGGCGGGGCCGUCUAGCCCGGAGUUCCGGGACGGGGCCUCAGACUGUGAAUUGGUGACUUGCUCCAGCUUGGCUGAUGUCAGUACACUGAAGUGCUCUAAACUGAGGAACAUGGAACAGAUCAGAGGAAAGGAGAGAAACUUGAGCUAUUUCCGGUAACAUCGAAAAGUGUGAAACAGGGAUAAAAGGUGUGAAAGACCUACCUGUGCACUGAAGACUACUGAGCAUUGCCGAACAAAUUUAAGGAAGAGCCUCCAAAGUGAAGACGUACACCAUGUUCACAGGUCAGUUGAGUCACUACAAUCCUGAUCAAAAUUCUGGCAGACUCAUUUGUAGAAAUUGACAAGUUGAUCUUAAAGUUCAUAUGAAAAUUCGAAGGAGCUAGAAGAGCAAAAUAAAAAACCUUGAAAAAGAAGAGCA